AACGAACGCUGGCGGCAUGCCUAACACAUGCAAGUCGAACGAGACCUUCGGGUCUAGUGGCGCACGGGUGCGUAACGCGUGGGAACCUGCCCUUAGGUUCGGAAUAACUCCCCGAAAGGGGUGCUAAUACCGGUUAAUGUCUUCGGACCAAAGAGUUAUCGCCUUUGGAUGGGCCCGCGUUGGAUUAGCUAGUUGGUAGGGUAAAAGCCUACCAAGGCGACGAUCCAUAGCUGGUCUGAGAGGAUGAUCAGCCACACUGGGACUGAGACACGGCCCAGACUCCUACGGGAGGCAGCAGUGGGGAAUAUUGGACAAUGGGCGAAAGCCUGAUCCAGCAAUGCCGCGUGAGUGAUGAAGGCCUUAGGGUUGUAAAGCUCUUUUACCCGGGAUGAUAAUGACAGUACCGGGAGAAUAAGCUCCGGCUAACUCCGUG
RNAcentral lists this ribosomal RNA (433 nucleotides) under uncultured bacterium. RNAcentral's name for it is "partial 16S ribosomal RNA". It matches the Rfam family "Bacterial small subunit ribosomal RNA", at positions 29 to 507 of the family's 1533-position model. The record is from RNAcentral.